CCUACGGGAGGCAGCAGUAGGGAAUCUUCCACAAUGGGCGAAAGCCUGAUGGAGCAACGCCGCGUGGGUGAAGAAGGUCUUCGGAUCGUAAAACCCUGUUGUUAGAGAAGAAAGUGCGUGAGAGUAACUGUUCACGUUUCGACGGUAUCCAACCAGAAAGCCACGGCUAACUACGUUCCAGCAGCCGCGGUAAUGCGAAGGUGGCAAGCGUUAUCCGGAUUUAUUGGGCGUAAAGGGAACGCAGGCGGACAUUUAAGUCUGAUGUGAAAGCCUUCGGCUUAACCGGGGUAGUGCAUUGGAAACUGGGAUACUUGAGUGCAGAAGAGGAGAGGGGAACUCCAAGUGUAGCGGUGAAAUGCGUAGAUAUAUGGAAGAACACCAGUGGCGAAAGCGGCUCUCUGGUCUGUAACUGACGCUGAGGUUCGAAGGCGUGGGUAGCAAACAGGAUUAGAUACCCUAGUAGUC
This 465-nucleotide ribosomal RNA is filed under the name uncultured bacterium. RNAcentral describes it as "partial 16S ribosomal RNA". It matches the Rfam family "Bacterial small subunit ribosomal RNA", at positions 338 to 795 of the family's 1533-position model. The record is from RNAcentral.